CUCUCCACGGGACGCAGCAGUAGGGAAUUCUCGUCAAUGGGCGCAAGCCUGAACGAGCAAUGCCGCGUGAACGAGGAAGGUCUUCGGAUCGUAAAGUUCUGUUGAAGGGGAAAAAGAGCGGAGAGAGGAAAUGAACUCCGAUUGAUAUUACCCUUCGAGGAAGUCACGGCUAACUACGUGCCAGCAGCCGCGGUAAUACGUAGGUGGCGAGCGUUAUCCGGAAUGAUUGGGCGUAAAGGGUGCGUAGGCGGCCUGCUAAGUCUGGAGUGAAAGGUACCGGCUCAACCGGUACAGGCUCUGGAAAA
RNAcentral lists this ribosomal RNA (305 nucleotides) under uncultured bacterium. RNAcentral describes it as "bacterial SSU rRNA". It matches the Rfam family "Bacterial small subunit ribosomal RNA", at positions 334 to 633 of the family's 1533-position model. The record is from RNAcentral.